GGCACAAGCGUGGAGCAUGUGGUUUAAUUCAAUGAUACGCGAGGAACCUUACCUGGGCUUAAAUGCUUAAUGACGUACUGGGAAACUGGUAUUUCUUCGGACAUUUUGCAAGGUGCUGCAUGGUUGUCGUCAGCUCGUGCCGUGAGGUGUCGGGUUAAGUCCCAUAACGAGCGCAACCCCUAUUGUUAGUUGCCGUCAGGUCAUGCCGGGACUCUAACAAAACUGCCCGCGUAAGCGUGGAGGAAGGUGGGGAUGACGUCAAAUCAGCACGGCCCUUACGUCCAGGGCUACACACGUGCUACAAUGGCCGGUACAGAGGGCAGCCACUUGGUGACAAGGAGCAAAUCUCAAAAGCCGGUCUCAGUUCGGAUCGGAGUCUGCAACUCGACUCCGUGAAGUUGGAUUCGCUAGUAAUCGUAGAUCAGCAAUGCUACGGUGAAUACGUUCCCGGGCCUU
This 456-nucleotide ribosomal RNA is filed under the name uncultured Bacteroidota bacterium. Its description in RNAcentral is "bacterial SSU rRNA". It matches the Rfam family "Bacterial small subunit ribosomal RNA", at positions 922 to 1382 of the family's 1533-position model. Lineage: Bacteria; Pseudomonadati; Bacteroidota. The record is from RNAcentral.